This 431-nucleotide ribosomal RNA is filed under the name uncultured bacterium. Its description in RNAcentral is "bacterial SSU rRNA". It matches the Rfam family "Bacterial small subunit ribosomal RNA", at positions 29 to 506 of the family's 1533-position model. The record is from RNAcentral.
AUGAACGCUGGCGGCGUGGAUAAGGCAUGCAAGUCGAGUGGGUUUAGACCCACGGCAAACGGGUUCGGAUAACAUAGGAAUCUUCCCUAAAGUCGUGAAUAAUUCGGAGAAAUCCGGAAUAAUACACGAUGUGCUCUACGGAGUAAAGAUUUAUCGCUUUAGGAGGAGCCUGUGUCCUAUCAGCUUGUUGGUGAGGUAAUAGCUCACCAAGGCUAUGACGGGUAGGGGGUGUGAGAGCACGGCCCCCAACAUUGGAACUGAGACACUGUCCAAACACCUACGGGUGGCUGCAGUCGAGAAUAUUCCACAAUGGACGAAAGUCUGAUGGAGCGACGCCGCGUGCGGGAUGAAGGUCUUCGGAUUGUAAACCGCUUUUCUACGGGAAGAACUAAGGUGACUGUACCGUAGGAAUAAGAGGUUACUAACUCUGU